This 495-nucleotide ribosomal RNA is filed under the name uncultured bacterium. RNAcentral's name for it is "partial 16S ribosomal RNA". It matches the Rfam family "Bacterial small subunit ribosomal RNA", at positions 28 to 507 of the family's 1533-position model. The record is from RNAcentral.
GACGAACGCUGGCGGCGUGCCUAAUACAUGCAAGUAGAACGCUGAAGGAGUAGCUUGCUUCUCUGGAUGAGUUGCGAACGGGUGAGUAACGCGUAGGUAACCUGCCUGGUAGCGGGGGAUAACUAUUGGAAACGAUAGCUACUACCGCAUAAGAGUAGAUGUUGCAUGACAUUUGCUUAAAAGUUGCAAUUGCAUCACUACCAGAUGCACCUGCGUUGUAUUAGCUAGUUGGUGGGGUAAAGGCUUACCAAGGCGACGGUACAUAGCCGAGCUGAGAGGGUGGACGGCCCACAUGGGAACGGAGCACGGGCCCGGCCUCCAACGGAGGCAGCAGUAGGGAAUCAUUGGCAAUGGGCGGAAGGCUGAAUGAGGCAAGCCGGGGGAGUUGAGGAGGGUCUCGGAGCGGAAAGGCCUGUUGUUAGAGAAGAACGAGUGGGAGAGUAGAACGUUCACGCUGUGACGGUAUCUUACCAGAAAGCGACGGCUAACUACGUG